AGUAGGAUAACUGGGUCAAAUGGUGGUUCCAUUCCUGAUUUUUUGAGGAAUCUCCAUACUGCUUUCCAGAGUGGUUGCCCCAAUUUGCAAUCCCACUAGCAAU
Molecule: microRNA precursor, 103 nt
Filed under: Marmota monax (woodchuck)
Lineage: Eukaryota; Metazoa; Chordata; Mammalia; Rodentia; Sciuridae
Source: RNAcentral